UGAAGGACGGCCAUGACUUGCGUCUGCUCCCUGGUGCUGAGACAAAGAACAUCUUCCCCAUCGUGCUCGUCCUGGGAGGAUAACUGGUUUUCCAUUUGUUUCAGUGUGCGUGCAUGUGUGCGUGCGUGUGUGCGUGCGUGUGUAAAUCAAUAAAAACUUGUAACUACUAAUCCAGUGGUUUCCAAACUUAUCUGCACUUUUGAAAUCAUCUGAGAAGCUCCCAAAAUACUAAUGUCUCUGUCCCACCAUCACUGAUUAUCAGUUGGGGUGUGGCCUGAGCUUGGGGUUUUAAAAAGAUACCCGGGUGAUUCUAAAGUGCACACAAAUUUGAAAACCACCGUAACAGUCCCUGUGUGUUGUAAAGAAUGGAAGCAGCGUGCUCUGCAGAAUGGAAAGCAUUCCCACACCUCUCCCAUGGGCAGGUGGCUCCAUAGCACUGGGUAGCUGGGCACUCAGACAGGGGAGUCCCAAGUUCCAUCCCCGUCAACACAUCUUCUGGGACAGAUCUUAAAGGAGGAGACAAUCUGUUGCUUACUUGUGGGCCACAGUGUGUUUUUCUAAGCAUCUAGAAGAACUUUAUAUUUGCUUUAAAGUUGAAAAUAGAACGAGAGUGCCAUUUUUUUCCCUCCUCGAUAGUCCAUGAAAAGAUCUCAGUGAGGUAGUUGAACCAUUGCCAGAAAGGGAUUGCUGAACUAAAGAAAAUGCCACAGAAUGCCAUUUUUUAUUUUAUAAAGAAAGAGACCAUUUGGUGCUCUGUACUUCCGUGGAUGUAUUUCAGCAAAAGAAUCUCUUCAGAAGCUGUUCUUGACAGAGGCCUCAAGGGAGCUGAAGUAUGGGCCCAUAUGACUUCUUUUUCGUCAACACAAAGGAAUUUAUAAGCACAAAUUUCAGAAAUGCACCCAGCUUCGUUGUCCACAAAGCUGUUUUUAUUCUAGUCGCACUCACAUCAGCUGACCUGUAGCCCAAUUGUAAGUUUGGAGUCUAGCGCUCACAGAACCUCAGACUUAUGUGUGGAAAGGCUUAUAUACGGUACGAAAAGUUACAAAGUUUGACAGAAAAUGAGUCUUCAGGGUUUUUUUAACCCAGUUUUAAGGAGAAGGGCCUUUUUGGGUGCUUUCCUGUUUAGUGUUGGUGGCCAUUCUGGUGAUAAGGGGAAGAAUCAUCCAUGUGGUUCUUCCUUUGUAUCUCAUCAGCUGUUGGUUAUCUCUCAAGUUUUAUGCAGGCACUUUUUUUUUCAUUCAUUUGACUGAGCGCCAGUAGAUCUAUUAAGAGGCCAGGCUCAGGCAGCAGUAAGGAAGACUCCCUGUCCUGGCCUUCAAGUUGUUCAUCCGUCGGUGGAUAUGGACAAGUGAGCAGUGUUGGAUGGUUGUAGAAGUGGAACAAGGUGACGUCAGUAACGUGACGGCAUGGGACGAUUACUUCAUGGAAGCCAGUGUCUGCAAUGUUAUCAUUCCCACUGAGAAGGACUGACCAGUUUCACCAGCACUGAGCUGGACCACUCCAGGGAAAAGAUCGCAGAAUGCUUGUGGAGCUGGCUGACACACGUCGUCCACUUACUCAUUCCAAAGAUUCUGCUCCUACACUAAGUAUGGGGCCACAUUUGGCAAAGAGGGGCACUUCUGUCCUACUGGCCAGCCCUAUUAUGCCCUUUGGUGACAUCAGUGUGCCAUACUCUUCUGAAUCUAGGUCUAGUGGUUGCUCUCUCUGGAAGCUAAGUGAAGCCCCAAAGGGCUCCCGGGACUUCCACGGUGUAGUGCCCUCACGACAUCACAGCUUUGUCACUGCCUUUCUUCUUCACUCCUCAUCUCAUUCACCGUGGCUUAUAAACUCCGGCACUAAAAGAAAAACACAACAAAAACUCCAGGGUCGCCACCCCCUCUAAGUGUUCCCGCUGCUCCUACUACACUCCACUGCCCUGCUCUCUCCAUUCCUUUCUCUCCUUGUUCUAGCUCCUUCUCUCCUCACUUCUCCCGGCCUGAGCCCGAAGCACGCUUGCACAUCAAGUCCCUACAGCACCUUUGAUUCUUCUCAGAGGUUUUCUCUGUUCCUAGAGGCGCAAGAAUUGCUUAUUUGCUACAGGAAACAUUUUCUCUUCUUUUUCUCCGUAUUUUACUUCCAGGUUCGAUGCCAUUUCUGAUUGCUUGAGCUGGUCUGACCCCU
Long non-coding RNA from Mustela erminea (ermine), 2160 nucleotides. RefSeq lists it as uncharacterized. The record is from RefSeq and is a predicted model, not a curated record. The transcript has 3 exons. Lineage: Eukaryota; Metazoa; Chordata; Mammalia; Carnivora; Mustelidae.